ACCUGGUAGAUAAGAACGUCUUAUUGGCUGUGAUCAUCACAAACUUCGCUUAGCUAUAAACAGGGUGAAGAUUGCUAGAAAGAAAGACUUGAGAGUCCACCAUUUAAGCCAAAGGCUUUUGAUAAUCGUGGACAAAAUACAUAUACUUCUCCGCCUCUUUCCAAUUUCCGCGGCAGGUAUGACUCUCCUUAGUGACAUCCAUUGCUGCUGGUUUGGAGAAGAUUGAGUGAGAAUGAUCCACCAUUGAGUUUGAUAACUAGGAUUGU
RNAcentral lists this long non-coding RNA (266 nucleotides) under Eucalyptus grandis. Its description in RNAcentral is "long non-coding RNA (EGRA_LNC002733)". Lineage: Eukaryota; Viridiplantae; Streptophyta; Magnoliopsida; Myrtales; Myrtaceae. The record is from RNAcentral.